Pieris napi is the source of this 1389-nucleotide long non-coding RNA. RefSeq lists it as uncharacterized. The transcript is spliced from 3 exons. The record is from RefSeq and is a predicted model, not a curated record. Lineage: Eukaryota; Metazoa; Arthropoda; Insecta; Lepidoptera; Pieridae.
UUCUUUUGUUUUAAUUGAUUAACAAGGGAAUCAGUCUGAUAAACAUAUUUUAUGUCGCUUAGACAGCGAUGUGAUCUGAAUGCUGACAUAGGAAUUUAAUGAUCGCUAAAAAUCGGUUAUAUUCCUAGUAAGACUACACGUUUUAACAUUCAUAAUAAUAAUUCCCAAUAAAAUACAACGCGUGGGAUAAUUGCACCACAAUUUUGUUCGCUUUCUCCCGUGGGUCUCGUGUUGCGUGUUUUUGAUGUCUCUAUCAAGGUGCGCGUGCGAGGCCUUUCCCGCUGCGUCUUAAUUACUUCAUCUCGGAACAUUUACGUUACGAAGAUGUAGGAAUAAUCAUAUAUCUACGGAUUUCAGCCGCCAUCAUGUUUUGGCUGGAUUAUGUUGCCUCUCAACACAACGAAAUAAGCCGAACGUUAACGAAAGAAUCCGAAGAUCCAGUCAAAGGACCACACAAGUUAUAUAUCCAUCUUUCUCUAAUUUUGAGACGGCAUGGUUGAUAAAUAAAACAAAAGCAUUGAAUGAAACUGAUAGCAAUACAAUAAUGCAGUUGGAGUUGGAGGCUGCAGCCUGCAAUUACGCAUCGUCACAACUCACGAGUUUCCUUCAUGAGUAAAAACUUGAACGCGCCCACGGCAGGGCGGCUGAGUUGUCCUUUGAUGUUGCCGACAUAAAACGCCGCCGACGGUGAUUUAACUAAUGAAUUUAUUUAGCGGGCGUGCCGAGAGUCACUGCAUCCACGAGACUCAACAGCGAACUACAGUGUCAAGAAUUUACCACAAACUCUUAUUAUGUGUCGGUUUCUUAGAAAUGAUGUUAAAAUUUUGAGGGUAGGAAAAUUUUUAUUAUAUGCAAAAUGUUUAAUUUAGAUUACCUAGCCAUUUUUUAUAUCAACAUAUCAACCCAUAUUGCUAUUAAUUUCAAAUAUUUAUAAUUUCACUCAACAGUGACAAUUCAAACAAUGUUUAAUGACCUGCGGACAGUUGCAAAAAAUACUCCUUGAGAACCUCUACAACCUUCCUAUCAUAUCUUAAUAUACUAUAUUACGGUAUUAGAACCGCGAAAUAUAUAUAUUAAGACAAACUAAGACAAUUUUCCUUGACAGUUAUUUCUUCUUAAAGGAGUGUACUAUUGGAAAUUAGUUUAUGGUGUCUUCGAGGUGGUUUACCUUUAGACAUUUUGACACUUCGGGCGAAAACGCAGCGGGACGUCCUUCUAAACGUCUUCUAGGAACUUCGCGUGGGACACGAAAUUGAGAUCGCAUUAUAUAACAAAUAAAUUACGGCUAUUGACGGAAUCGAACAAUGUUAAUUAAAUAAUACAUAUUUGAAGCCAAUAAAGUUGCUGUAAACUUUUUUUUUUAAUAGUACGGGGGGCAAACGGGCAGGA